This 433-nucleotide ribosomal RNA is filed under the name uncultured bacterium. RNAcentral's name for it is "bacterial SSU rRNA". It matches the Rfam family "Bacterial small subunit ribosomal RNA", at positions 29 to 507 of the family's 1533-position model. The record is from RNAcentral.
AACGAACGCUGGCGGCAUGCCUAACACAUGCAAGUCGAACGAAGCCUUCGGGCUUAGUGGCGCACGGGUGCGUAACACGUGGGAAUCUGCCCUUUGGUCCGGAAUAACAGUUAGAAAUGACUGCUAAUACCGGAUAAUGACGUAAGUCCAAAGAUUUAUCGCCGAAGGAUGAGCCCGCGUAGGAUUAGGUAGUUGGUGGGGUAAUGGCCCACCAAGCCGACGAUCCUUAGCUGGUCUGAGAGGAUGAUCAGCCACACUGGGACUGAGACACGGCCCAGACUCCUACGGGAGGCAGCAGUGGGGAAUAUUGGACAAUGGGCGAAAGCCUGAUCCAGCAAUGCCGCGUGAGUGAUGAAGGCCUUAGGGUUGUAAAGCUCUUUUACCAGGGAUGAUAAUGACAGUACCUGGAGAAUAAGCUCCGGCUAACUCCGUG